GCAGCCGGGCUCUCAGCCAGCGGCCAGGCGCCCCGCGGACCAUGCUCUCCAGUACGCAGAACGCGGGCGGCUCCUAUCAGCGGGUCCGCGGGGCGCUUGAUACACAGAAAUGCAGUCCAGAGAAAAGUGCCUCAUUUUUCAGUAAAGUGACAUAUUCCUGGUUUAGCAGAGUAAUUACUUUAGGCUAUAAGAGACCUUUGGAAAGAGAGGAUCUUUUUGAACUAAAGGAAAGUGAUUCCUUCUGCACUGCGUGUCCCAUCUUUGAAAAACAAUGGAGAAAGGAAGUUUUAAGGAAUCAAGAGAGGCAAAAAGUAAAGGUAUCUUGUUAUAAAGAGGCACAUAUCAAGAAACCAUCUCUACUCUAUGCAUUGUGGAACACCUUUAAAUCCAUCCUGAUUCAAGUUGCCUUAUUCAAAGUGUUUGCUGAUAUUUUGUCCUUCACUAGCCCACUCAUAAUGAAGCAAAUUAUCAUUUUCUGUGAACACAGCUCAGAUUUUGGCUGGAAUGGCUAUGGCUAUGCAGUGGCACUUCUUGUUGUAGUCUUUUUGCAAACUCUGAUUCUUCAGCAAUAUCAACGUUUUAACAUGCUCACCUCAGCAAAAGUUAAGACAGCUGUAAAUGGACUGAUCUACAAAAAGGUGUCCCUGGCAACCUUGUGUGUCUAUUUCUUACUGGAUGAAGGAAACAUUUUAACAGCCACUAAAGUGUUCACAUCGAUGUCUUUGUUUAAUAUUUUAAGGAUUCCUCUGUUUGAGUUACCAACCGUGAUCUCAGCUGUGGUCCAGACAAAGAUAUCCCUGGGCCGUUUGGAAGACUUUCUCAACACUGAGGAGCUUCUUCCUCAAAGUAUUGAAACGAACUAUACAGGAGAUCAUGCUAUUGGGUUUACAGAUGCUUCUUUCUCCUGGGAUAAAACAGGAAUGCCAGUUCUAAAAGAGGCUCUGUGGCUUAUGUUUCUCAGCAGGCCUGGAUUCAGAAUUGCAUUUUGCAAGAAAACAUUCUCUUUGGCUCCAUCAUGAAGAAAGAGUUUUAUGAGCAAGUAUUGGAAGCCUGUGCUCUCCUUCCAGAUUUGGAGCAGUUGCCAAAGGGAGAUCAAACUGAGAUUGGAGAAAGAGUAAGGAAACUGUAAUUUAUCAUGUAAAGAAAUAUAAUCCCAUUCAGCUGUGCUAAUAAAAUGUUUAUGGCCUUUUU
Long non-coding RNA from Homo sapiens (human), 1191 nucleotides. Ensembl annotates it as ATP binding cassette subfamily C member 13 (pseudogene). Its record names the gene ABCC13. Lineage: Eukaryota; Metazoa; Chordata; Mammalia; Primates; Hominidae. The record is from Ensembl.